AUGAACGCUGGCGGCGUGCCUAAUACAUGCAAGUCGAGCGAACAGACGAGGAGCUUGCUCCUCUGACGUUAGCGGCGGACGGGUGAGUAACACGUGGAUAACCUACCUAUAAGACUGGGAUAACUUCGGGAAACCGGAGCUAAUACCGGAUAAUAUAUUGAGCCGCAUGGUUCAAUAGAGAAAGACGGUUUUGCUGUCACUUAUAGAUGGAUCCGCGCCGCAUUAGAUAGUUGGUAAGGUAACGGCUUACCAAGGCAACGAUGCGUAGCCGACCUGAGAGGGUGAUCGGCCACACUGGAACUGAGACACGGUCCAGACUCCUACGGGAGGCAGCAGUAGGGAAUCUUCCGCAAUGGGCGAAAGCCUGACGGAGCAACGCCGCGUGAGUGAUAGAGGUCUUCCGAUCGUAAAACUCUGUUAUUAGGGAAGAACAAAUGUGUAAGUAACUAUGCACGUCUUGACGGUACCUAAUCAGAAAGCCACGGCUAACUACGUU
This 496-nucleotide ribosomal RNA is filed under the name uncultured bacterium. Its description in RNAcentral is "partial 16S ribosomal RNA". It matches the Rfam family "Bacterial small subunit ribosomal RNA", at positions 29 to 507 of the family's 1533-position model. The record is from RNAcentral.